UUGCCCUAGUAACGGCGAGUGAAGCGGCAACAGCUCAAAUUUGAAAUCUGGCUCUUUUAGAGUCCGAGUUGUAAUUUGCAGAGGGCGCUUUGGCUUUGGCAGCGGUCCAAGUUCCUUGGAACAGGACGUCACAGAGGGUGAGAAUCCCGUACGUGGUCGCUGGCUAUUGCCGUGUAAAGCCCCUUCGACGAGUCGAGUUGUUUGGGAAUGCAGCUCUAAAUGGGAGGUACAUUUCUUCUAAAGCUAAAUAUUGGCCAGAGACCGAUAGCGCACAAGUAGAGUGAUCGAAAGAUGAAAAGCACUUUGGAAAGAGAGUCAAACAGCACGUGAAAUUGUUAAAAGGGAAGCGCUUGCAGCCAGACUUGCUUGCAGUUGCUCAUCCGGGCUUUUGCCCGGUGCACUCUUCUGUAGGCAGGCCAGCAUCAGUUUGGGCGGUAGGAUAAAGGUCUCUGUCACGUACCUCCUUUCGGGGAGGCCUUAUAGGGGAGACGACAUACUACCAGCCUGGACUGAGGUCCGCGCAUCUGCUAGGAUGCUGGCGUAAUGGCUGUAAGCGGCCCGUCUUGAAACACGGACCAAGGAGUCUAACAUCUAUGCGAGUGUUUGGGUGUCAAGCCCGAGCGCGUAAUGAAAGUGAACGGAGGUGGGAACCCGCAAGGGUGCACCAUCGACCGAUCCUGAUGUCUUCGGAAGGAUUUGAGUAAGAGCAUGGCUGUUGGGACCCGAAAGAUGGUGAACUAUGCUUGAAUAGGGUGAAGCCAGAGGAAACUCUGGUGGAGGCUCGCAGCGGUUCUGACGU
This 799-nucleotide ribosomal RNA is filed under the name Alternaria sp. 'sect. Ulocladioides'. Its description in RNAcentral is "partial large subunit ribosomal RNA". It matches the Rfam family "Eukaryotic large subunit ribosomal RNA", at positions 75 to 892 of the family's 3401-position model. The record is from RNAcentral. Lineage: Eukaryota; Fungi; Ascomycota; Dothideomycetes; Pleosporales; Pleosporaceae.